RNAcentral lists this long non-coding RNA (1031 nucleotides) under Homo sapiens (human). Its description in RNAcentral is "non-protein coding lnc-MAP9-12:1". The record is from RNAcentral. Lineage: Eukaryota; Metazoa; Chordata; Mammalia; Primates; Hominidae.
AAUCCCUUACCUCAACUUAUUUUUGCCCUCACCAUUUUCACAGGAACUUUUAUCACAAUGCUAGGCUCACACUGAUUUCUCAUCUGAACAGGGCUAGAAAUAAACAUACUAGCCCUUACCCCAAUCUUAAUUAAAAAAAUAAAUCCCCGCUCUACAGAAGCAGCCACCAAAUAUUUCCUUACACAAGCAACCACAUCUAUAAUUCUCAUAACAGAUAUCCUUCCCAAUAACCUGUUCUCCGGACAAUGAACAAUAAUACACUAUCAAUCAAUUUUUAUCCUUAAUAAUAAUAGUGGCCCUAGUAAUAAAACUAGGAAUAGCCCCCUUUCACUUCUGAGUCUCAGAGGUAAUUCAGGGAAUCUCUUUGAUGUCUGGUAUACUUCUCCUCACAUGACAAAAACUAGCUCCUAUCUCAACUGUGUUUCAAACUUUUCAUCAACAAACACGAACAUCCUCCUGUCACAAUCCUAUCCAUUAUAGUGGGUGGUUGAGGGGGACUUAAUCAAACAACUGUGUAAAAUCCUAGCCUACUCCUCAGUCACUCACAUAGGUUGAACAACAGCAGUACUAAUUUAUAAUCCAAACAUUACCACCCUAAACCUGAUUAUUUACUUUAUCCUAACAACAACCGCAUUUCUAGCACUCAGCCAGAGUAUAAGCACCAGAACCCUAUCACUAUCUCACACCUGAAACAAAUGAGCAUGGUUGACACCUGUAAUUCCACUAAUUCUACUAUCCUUAGGAGGUUUAUCCCCAUUAACAGGGUUCCUUUCUAAAUGAAUCAUCAUUCAAGAAUUUACAAAAAACAAUAGCCUUAUUAACCCAAUCAUUAUAGCUAUCAUAACCUACUCAACCUGUACUUUUAUAUAUGCCUAGUCUAUUCCUUAUCAGUAACACUAUUCCCCACAUCUAGCAAUAUGAAAAUAAAAUGACAAUUUGAAAACACAAAACCCACACUACUCUUCCCCCCACUUGUCAUCUCUUCUACCCUCCUCUUACCCAUCUCUCCAUUAAUACUAACUAUAACUUAG